This 1520-nucleotide long non-coding RNA is filed under the name Scleropages formosus (Asian bonytongue). RNAcentral's name for it is "lncRNA (ENSSFOG00015025255.1)". The record is from RNAcentral. Lineage: Eukaryota; Metazoa; Chordata; Actinopteri; Osteoglossiformes; Osteoglossidae.
AUUUUAGGCAUAUCUGUGUUGAAUGCUGGAAUGGAAGAAUGCUGACAUCAAUCUUGCAGCACUGCCCCGAUGACCCAUUACCCACCAUGACGGCUGGUCACCCCACUGAAAGGAACUUCGUUAGCAAGCGUGUCCAUGCAGUACUCUGUUGUGACCUGGCCUUGAGGACUUGCCACAAAAACAACAUCUGGUAAUGAUUUUGAUCAAGCAAUCAGCGAGGCAGCUCUCCAAAGACUCCUGUGGAGCCGAAGGCUUAAGAAAGUAACACAAAGCCAUUAAUUGUGCAAGAUAUUGUGAGCCUAAUAGCCUUAAUUAGCUUGAUUAAAGUUGAAAUAGGAGUAAAGGUGGUGAGAAUGCAUAUCCUGUAAAUUAAACCUUUGCCCUCUUACUUCUCUGAUCCAUAAAACCAGUAAAAUCCCAGAAUGGUAGUUUGAAAACAACCUUGCUUUCCUGCAAUAUAUGUCUUUCCUUUGUAAUAUAUUGGGUCCCAGUCCAUUGUGCAGAAGAGGCAAUGCUGUUACCGAUGUCUAUAGAAAAAAAAAAAAAAAAAAAAACUAUAAUUUUUUUCUUAUCACACAUUUUUUUAGACUAUACAGUGGAGACACAGCAUGCUUGCUCAACUUGUAUAUGCAUAACAAGAGCAAACUGAAGGGUGAAGAUUGGGAGUUGGACUUUGGGGAGCUUUUCAAGAGCUCAUAUCAAUCACCAGCCUGCAGGAACCUCCACCUCCUCCCCUCUCCCAUCUAGUGCUGCUGAUAGUACUCUUCUGUCAUCUUGCUCCUCUUCCCCCCUCGUAUACCUAGCACAUUUCUUAGCUACAGUUAGACUCACUUCCCUUUUAAUCCAUUUGUGUCCAUGGGAGCUGAAUAGAGGGGUCACUGUGCUCCUUAAGGAAGAGCUCUCCCUUAUGUCAACACUUUUGGCACUCCCCCUCAUUUAUCUGUUUCCCUCUCUCCCUCCUUGUAUAUCUCUCUCUAUCUCUUCAGUGCUAGGCAAACCGGUCCUGCAAGGGGUCAUGUGGUUACCAUAACAAAGAUGGACAGACCUCCUCUGGCUCCCUGGCCCACUGAUAAGGACUGGAACCGUCCAUCUUCGGUUUCUGUGUGUUUGCUUUUCCUGUGCCAGGGUUUUGUGCUCUCCAGCAGCCUUCAAAGCUUUUCUUUCUGCUGUUCUUCUAUCCCUUGGAUUGAAUGGAAAGAACAAAAAAUGUUAUUGCUACAGAAGACAGGAUCUCAUUCCAGGCUCAUGGCAUCUGGAUAGAGUAUAUCUUCAUCCACUAUUAUUAUUGUUACUUUAUUUGUUAUUCAGCAUGGCUCUUUCCACAGCAGCUUACGUUGUGUAUCUCAAAAUUACUGUCAUUUAUUAUGAAACUUUGAAAAUGUGCAGAUGUGUAAAAGUUUCUUUCAAAAAAAGAAAAAACCUCCCCAGAGGAUCCACUGACACACGAACCAGCCCCUUCACGAUGUAUUCUGCAGUUUCUGACACUGAGAGAUAUUUCUUCUUGCAGACUUCCAGGCCUG